AUUGAACGCUGGCGGCAUGCUUUACACAUGCAAGUCGAACGGCAGCGCGGGCUUCGGCCUGGCGGCGAGUGGCGAACGGGUGAGUAAUACAUCGGAACGUGCCCAGUAGUGGGGGAUAGCUCGGCGAAAGCCGGAUUAAUACCGCAUACGGCCUGAGGGUGAAAGCGGGGGAUCUUCGGACCUCGCGCUAUUGGAGCGGCCGAUGGCGGAUUAGCUAGUUGGUGGGGUAAAGGCCUACCAAGGCGACGAUCUGUAGCUGGUCUGAGAGGACGACCAGCCACACUGGGACUGAGACACGGCCCAGACUCCUACGGGAGGCAGCAGUGGGGAAUUUUGGACAAUGGGCGAAAGCCUGAUCCAGCAAUGCCGCGUGUGUGAUGAAGGCCUUCGGGUUGUAAAGCACUUUUGGCGGGAACGAAAAGGACUGUGCCAAUACCACGGUUCGAUGACGGUACCCGCAGAAUAAGCACCGGCUAACUACGUG
Molecule: ribosomal RNA, 484 nt
Filed under: uncultured bacterium
Lineage: Bacteria
Description: partial 16S ribosomal RNA
Rfam family: Bacterial small subunit ribosomal RNA
Source: RNAcentral